RNAcentral lists this ribosomal RNA (569 nucleotides) under uncultured bacterium. RNAcentral describes it as "partial 16S ribosomal RNA". It matches the Rfam family "Bacterial small subunit ribosomal RNA", at positions 355 to 918 of the family's 1533-position model. The record is from RNAcentral.
UGGGGAAUUUUGGACAAUGGGCGAAAGCCUGAUCCAGCAAUGCCGCGUGUGUGAAGAAGGCCUUCGGGUUGUAAAGCACUUUUGUCCGGAAAGAAAUCCUUGGCUCUAAUACAGUCGGGGGAUGACGGUACCGGAAGAAUAAGCACCGGCUAACUACGUGCCAGCAGCCGCGGUAAUACGUAGGGUGCAAGCGUUAAUCGGAAUUACUGGGCGUAAAGCGUGCGCAGGCGGUUUGCUAAGACCGAUGUGAAAUCCCCGGGCUCAACCUGGGAACUGCAUUGGUGACUGGCAGGCUAGAGUAUGGCAGAGGGGGGUAGAAUUCCACGUGUAGCAGUGAAAUGCGUAGAGAUGUGGAGGAAUACCGAUGGCGAAGGCAGCCCCCUGGGCCAAUACUGACGCUCAUGCACGAAAGCGUGGGGAGCAAACAGGAUUAGAUACCCUGGUAGUCCACGCCCUAAACGAUGUCAACUAGUUGUUGGGGAUUCAUUCCUUAGUAACGUAGCUAACGCGUGAAGUUGACCGCCUGGGGAGUACGGUCGCAAGAUUAAAACUCAAAUGAAUUGACGGGG